GUCACGGCGACAGUAAAUAACUCAUGGAUGCCCGUCGUCACGGCGGCAGUAAAUGACUCCUGGAUGCCCGUCGUCAUGGCGACAGUACCUAAAUGACUCCUGGUCCAGUUUUUUUCAUUGUUUGUUUUCUGCUUCUCUGCGUUUCUUUGUGGAUUUUGUUUGUCUAUUUUUUGGCCCUGGGCUUAGACUGUGUGUGUGCGUGUGUAUGUGUGUGUGUGUUUGUGUGUCUGCGUGCAUGUGUGUGUGUGCAUGUGUGUGCGUGCGUGUGUGUGUGAGAACACAUAGCUUAUGACAGGCCAGUGGUCUUCAGCCCAUUUCCAAAGCAGAUCAGUGAUGAGUUCAUUUAUCUUCACUCAAACACAAUGAUGAUGAUGAUGAUGAUGAUGAUGAUGAUGAUGAUGAUGAUGAUGAGUUCAUUUAUCGUCUGGGCGGAGUCAAACAUAGCCCACUCAAACACAAUGAUGAUGAUGAUGAUGUUCGAAAGCAACACUUUCUGUAUAUUUUUUAAAUAUAAAUACUUAUUUUUUAAUAUCGGGGAAUCAUUUCAAUUAGGUGUGCUAGAUGCACAGUGACCUAGGUGUGUGUGUGUGUGUGUUUCUGUACUAGAUGCACAGAUGUCAUUUAAAAAGGUUCUGUGACCAUGUGUCUGUGUGUGUGUGAGAGUGUGAGAGUGUGUGUGUGAGUGUGUGAGUGUGUGUGUGUGUGUGUGAGAGAGAGAGAGACUGUGUGUGUGUGUGUGUGUGUGUGUGAGAGUGUGUGUGUGUGUGUGUGUGAGAGUGUGUGAGUGUGUGUGUGUGUUUGUGUGUGUGAGAGAGUGUGUUUGUGAGAGAGUGUGUGUGUGUGUGUGUGUGUGUGUGAAAGAGUGUGUGUGUGUGUGUGUGUGUGUGUGUGUGUGUGUGUGUGUCCCUACCCAUCACAUGGCUCCAUCCUCUGGGUCUCUCCUCAGCUGUGUUAACACAAUAUAUUAUAUUUGUAUGUUUUUUUAUUUUUUUAUUUAUUUUUCUAUUCUUGCCUUUUGAGUGGCAGUCUCUGGUGUUCCCGUGUGUGUUCCUCUCUCUGCGGAGUGUACCGGUGUGUGUUCCCCCACCCAGCCGUGAGGCUCUCUCUCGCCCAGGCCGGGAAGAGCGUUGUGGGGCACCUCUUGGGCACCUCUUGGGCACCUCUGGGGCACCUCUGGGGCAACUCUGGGGCAACUCUGGGGCAACUCUUGGGCACCUCUUGGGCAACUCUGGGGCACCUCUGCCUUCCUGCCCGAUGGGUGUCAGACUGGCCUCCUCUGGCGUUAAGCUAUUCCUGAAGGUCAGAGCGUGAGCGCGUAGGCACUUCCUGCUCCUCCUCUACUCCCUCCUCCUCCAUUUUAGGGUCACAGAGCUCCUAGGUGGUUUGCUAGCUGCUGGCGUUCCUGUGGUCCCUAGAGCUUCUGGAUCCAUCCCAUAAUAACCCAACGGGUCAGCGACACAUCAGCAGCCCCGUGCCCAGCCCACCUCAGCACACAGCCAGCAGGAUGUUAGCAGCUCAGCGCUGGGGCUAACUCAGUGCUAACUCAGCGCUGGGGCUAACUCAGUGCUAACUUAGCGCUGGGGCUAACUCAGUGCUAACUCAGUGCUAACUCAUUCAUAACUUAGCGCUGGGGCUAACUCAGUGCUAACUCAGUGCUAACUCAGUGCUAACUCAUUCAUAACUUAGCGCUGGGGCUAACUCAGUGCUAACUCAGUGCUAACUCAGUGCUAACUCAGUGCAAACUCAUUCAUAACUUAGCGCCGGGGCUAACUCAGUGUGUGCUGACUGCUGAGGUGAGGGGUGUGUUUUGGCACUCCCAGCAGCCUUGGAGCUCAGAGGGGUGUGUGUGAGGUGAGGGGUGUGUCUGAGGUGAGGUGUGGGUGGAGCUCAGAGGGGUGUGUGUGAGGUGAGGUGUGUGUCUGAGGUGUGGGUGGAGCUCAGAGGGGUGUGUCUGAGGUAAGGGGUGUGUCUGAGGUGUGGCGUAGGAUGUCCAAACACCUCCCCCUCCCUUUCUCUCUCUAUCUAUCUGCUCCUCUUCUGGCUCAGAUCUGGCUGGUAUCUGGCUGGGAUCUGCUCCACUGUCAGGGAUCUUUCCGGAGGUUUCCCAGCGGAGCAGUCCAAAGCCUUCAGCACAGAGUCACAGAGUGUGUGUGUGUGUGUGUGUGUGUGUGUGUGUGUGUGUGUGGGAUCUUUCCGGAUGGUUCCCAGCGGAGCAGUCCAAAGCCUUCAGCACAGAGUCAACCCUGUGAUGCUAAUGUGGACAUAGAAACCUUUCACCUUUCACCUUUCACCUUUCACCUUUAACCUUUCCGUGAAUGUUUCUCAUAUCCUUGUUUCUGUCUUUGUUUCCUGACGUGGUACUUGUAAAAUACCGCAAGUAAAAGUAAAGAAAUGCCUGCUUUUUUAAUAUUAAUAUAUGUACACACACACACGCACACACACGCACACAGUACAAGACAUUCUCUGCUUUUUUUAUAUUAAUAUAUGUAUGUACAAGACAUUCUCUGCUUCAUCUAGCCUUCUCUCAAGUGCGCCAUUGUACUUCUCCUCCUCUCCUCUACUCUCCUCUUCUUCUCCUCUCCUCUACUCUCCUUCUCCUCUCCUCCUCUCCUCCAGUGCACUUUCCUCCUCUCCUCCUCUCCUCUCUCCUCCUCUCCUCCAGUGCACUUUCCUCCUCUCCUUCUCUCCUCCUCUCCUUCUCUCCUCUUCUCCUCCUCUUCUCUUCUUCUCCAGUGCACUCUCCUCUUCUCCUCCUCUUCUCUUCUUCUCCAGUGCACUCUCCUCUUCUCCUCCUCUCCUCUCCUCUUGUCUCUUGUCUGUCGUUCUUCUCCUCAUUCCUUCUUCACUCAUUCCAACUGUUGACAGAAUGUUCCAGAUAAAAAUGUUAUCUUUUUAAUGUACAUAUGUUUUGUAUAUGCUUUUGCAAGUGCAUCAAAUCUGUUUUUUUUUCACAUUCAAAACUGUCAUACGUGCCUGUUCUGCAAUAAAGCCUUAUUUUC
Clupea harengus (Atlantic herring) is the source of this 2999-nucleotide long non-coding RNA. The record is from Ensembl. Lineage: Eukaryota; Metazoa; Chordata; Actinopteri; Clupeiformes; Clupeidae.